Molecule: ribosomal RNA, 497 nt
Filed under: uncultured bacterium
Lineage: Bacteria
Description: partial 16S ribosomal RNA
Rfam family: Bacterial small subunit ribosomal RNA
Source: RNAcentral
GAUGAACGCUGGCGGCGUGCCUAAUACAUGCAAGUCGAGCGAACAGACGAGGAGCUUGCUCCUCUGACGUUAGCGGCGGACGGGAGAGUAACACGUGGAUAACCUACCUAUCAGACUGGGAUAACUUCGGGAAACCGGAUCUACUACCGGAUAAUAUAUUGAACCGCAUGGUUCAAUAGUGAAAGUCGCUUUUGCUUUCAGUAAUAGAUGAAUCCGCGCCGCAUUAGCUAGUUGGUAAGGGAACGGCUUACCAAGGCAGCGAUGCUUAGCCGACCUGAAAGGGAGAAUGGCUAGCUGGGAACAGAGACACGGCCCACACGCCGACGGGAGGCCGCAGUACGGAAUCUUCCGCAAUGGGGGAAAGCCGGACGGAGCAACGCCGCGGGAGGGAUGAAGGUGCUCGGACCGGAAAGCGCUGUUAUUAGGGAAGAACAAAUGUGUAAGUAACUAUGCACGUCUUGACGGUACCUAAUCAGAAAGCCACGGCUAACUACGUG